CAUGAUCAGAUUUCUUGGCAACUGGUAAAUUUUGUUGACGGAUUAUUGUCAUUCUGUACUCUGGAUCUAGUUCCUGGCAUCAGUCCUGCUCAAUGAGUACUUGAAAUCAACUGUCAUUUUUUUGUGAAUUCAUCAAAUUACAUAGGUGUUCAUUGUCCUUAAUAUUGAUGCCAUAAAAGAAGCACAGGUAUGAAAAAUUCCAGCGUGCAGACAAAUUGUAUUGCAUGUGUAACGAUUUUAUGUCAUGAAUUGACCCUCAACUCUAUCUAAAAAGCAGCAUGGUUUGUAAGUUUAGCCUGAUUGCAAGUAAUAGAGCAAUACAUAGACAUGAAGUGGAAAUAUUUGGUAAAGUGAAAUGCAGCAACAGAAAACAUAAGCUGGGAAUAGUGGAAUACACAAGAAAUAAUUGAAAAGACAGUCUCUUUGAGUAUGUUCAGUGAUUUGCUCGUGUAUUCAGUGGGACGGUAAUAGUUGGCUUUUAUUUUUAAUUUACCCUAGCCUUCUGUCAUGAUCGCAACUACAGAGCAACUGUAGGAAUGCAAAAGUAAACCAUGGGUGCUCUAGUCCUUUUCUUAUAAAUAGUUUUAUCAAAUCAUUUUUCUUUUUUUAAUACUGACUCUCUUUAACUUUUUUCUCCAUCCGUUUUGCUAGAAAUGUAAUGCUAUAUGACUUCCGCCCAUGACAGGAGCUUGCCAACCAGCUAGCUGGUCGACAUUCUGUUAACGGCUAAACCAUUAAUUUCCUGUUAUAUCUCUGUAUUCUUUUUGCCUUUUCAAUCUCCUUUUAUCUUUUUUCUCCCCUUAAGACUUUCUUUGACAUGGAAUAGUGUUGUGCCAACCUUUUCUAGUCCUUCCUUUUCCUAUAUUCUUUCUUCUCCUAAUAUUCUAUGCCUUUUAUAUUAGGGAAGUAGAUAAUAAUAUAUAAUGAUAACAUUGGCAGAUGUAAUAAUGCUUGUAGGGAAUGAAAGCAGAAAAUGCAAUAUUAAUGUUUAAAGCGCUAAAGAAAUGGACGGCAAACAUGAUAGAGGCAAUGACUAUGACACAAUAACAGAAAUAUAGUAGUUUUAAAAGCUCAAUGCUAAUGAUCAUUCAGAUUACGUAUUGUCAAUCUUUGAUUAGUUUUGGCUUGAGAGAUUUUUAGCCAUUUUGGUUAUCAAGAGUGUGGCUCUCCUAAAUGAAAAGCCCAAAUGAGUGAAUACAAGAAUAGGUUGCAAUCUUUAGCUCAAAGAGUUUGUACAUUUGAGGGCUCCAACAAAAGAGACCAAGGUUUGUCGUACCAGUCAGUAUCGCACCAUACGGGACAUACUAUAUCAUACCGAUAUCAAAUCGGUAUGCAGUCUCGUACUGUAUAGACACUUGGUAUGUUUUGUCUUCUCGUACUGUACCGUAUACCGAUGUUGUAAUAGGAUAGGCUGGCACAGGAUCUAGUACUAAGACAACGAAUCUUGCAAGAAACUCUCCCACCAUCCACUAGAAAUAGAUUUGAGGUUUAUGACAACUUCAAGUAUGUUUUGAUGUGAGAACAUGAAUUGUGCUCAAAGCAACCCAAGAUUGCUGCAAUAAUUAAAUAAAUAAUGUGUGUCUCUGUUCUCAAUAGAAGCAAACAUAAAGAAACUAUUUGACUUUCAGCAACAAGGGAGCACAAGAUCCAUAGAGUAAUGAACAAGUUAAUCAGUGAAUGUCUAAUGGGCAUCCAAUUCUAACCUCAAUUUGCAGGAUGAAUAGAAGGCCACAAGCAGUGAAUUAAGCAGAAACCAUUAUGGAAAGCAGUCUCAGGAACAUUAUGACAACAGUGUGAAGGCAAAAGUUCUGCCUAUCUUUGUACUGUUUAGGAUCUUGUCAGCUCACCU
RNAcentral lists this long non-coding RNA (1849 nucleotides) under Phoenix dactylifera (date palm). RNAcentral's name for it is "long non-coding RNA (PDAC_LNC005762)". Lineage: Eukaryota; Viridiplantae; Streptophyta; Magnoliopsida; Arecales; Arecaceae. The record is from RNAcentral.